GCAUCUUGUGUCUAUAAAAUGAGCUGCUCGUUAUGCAUAGAUAAUCCUUUCUACUGCAGUUUUUUUGAAAGAUAUAACGUUAGCCAUGGAGGACUGCAAAUAUGUUGCUACUGCUCUCAAUAACAUUCUUGCUCUGAAUUUAUCAGGCGCUAUCGACAAAGCCGGUCAGUGGGAAAAAGUUGUGGUGGACUACUUUCUGGAGGACUCUCUUUGACUCUGAAAAUGAAUGAGACAACGAGGUAAUCCCUGAUUUAGGUAAAAACAUUUUCAUUGAAGAAGACAUUGUAGCGUCUUCUGAUGACAGUGAUGGGGAAGAAACGGCGAUCAACAGUGGGAUGAAGUUGACAGUUUUGAAAUCAGUGGACUGUCUGUGCAAACUAAACAGAAACGACACAGGACGUCUUAUUUAAUGAAAUGGGUUGCAGUCUGCCAUGAAGUUUUCAUCCAUGUAUACGGUAGAACAUGCCUGACUCUCCUCCACCAGUCAUACAAGGAGAAUGGUCUAAUACCUCCCAUCAAAAAGAGACACAAGCACUUUGGUGGACGGUUCUGCCAUCCUAUGUGACAAAAGCAGCAGUGUGGCGUCUCUACACGAAAUCGAUGACAACAUUUGGUUCCUGUCUUCCUUCAGGAAUCUGUGAAGAAAAUUGCUGCCCCACAUCUCAAGCACUAAGCCCAGGACAGACCUGUGCUGGCAGUGCCAGAAGAACAACUAUUAGGUCUUUAGAUCUCCCAAUCUGCCAGACACUGUUAAGUCAGCCAAGCUGAAGAAGCAAGAGCAGUAUCUCCUGCUUGUUCAGAGUGAGUGGUUUGUCUUCAAGAAGAUGGUUGCUGAAUGCAAGACCACCUGUCAAGAUCUGCAGUUGUCUCUGGGGGCCCCUACUGAACCAGCAAGCAAAGACAUCAGGAUGCAUUACAGCUUUGAUUUUGCUCAACAAGUAAGUAACAUUUCCUCCUGUAUACUAAUUGAGGACGUUGAUGGAUA
Molecule: long non-coding RNA, 985 nt
Filed under: Salmo salar (Atlantic salmon)
Lineage: Eukaryota; Metazoa; Chordata; Actinopteri; Salmoniformes; Salmonidae
Description: lncRNA (ENSSSAG00000114227.1)
Source: RNAcentral